RNAcentral lists this ribosomal RNA (419 nucleotides) under bacterium enrichment culture clone ALO1_GLFRUDD03F7EHQ. RNAcentral's name for it is "bacterial SSU rRNA". It matches the Rfam family "Bacterial small subunit ribosomal RNA", at positions 9 to 430 of the family's 1533-position model. The record is from RNAcentral. RNAcentral also lists the same sequence under 2 other names.
GAGUUUGAUCAUGGCUCAGAUUGAACGCUGGCGGCAUGCCUUACACAUGCAAGUCGAACGGCAGCACGGGAGCUUGCUCCUGGUGGCGAGUGGCGAACGGGUGAGUAAUGCAUCGGAACGUAUCCUGGAGUGGGGGAUAACGUAGCGAAAGUUACGCUAAUACCGCAUAUUCUGUGAGCAGGAAAGCGGGGGACCUUCGGGCCUCGCGCUCUUGGAGCGGCCGAUGUCGGAUUAGCUAGUUGGUGAGGUAAAGGCUCACCAAGGCGACGAUCCGUAGCAGGUCUGAGAGGAUGAUCUGCCACACUGGAACUGAGACACGGUCCAGACUCCUACGGGAGGCAGCAGUGGGGAAUUUUGGACAAUGGGGGCAACCCUGAUCCAGCCAUGCCGCGUGAGUGAAGAAGGCCUCGGUUGGUAAG